GCUUGUUGGUGAGGUAAUGGCUCACCAAGGCGACGACGGGUAGCCGGCCUGAGAGGGUGACCGGCCACACUGGGACUGAGACACGGCCCAGACUCCUACGGGAGGCAGCAGUGGGGAAUAUUGCACAAUGGGCGAAAGCCUGAUGCAGCGACGCCGCGUGAGGGAUGACGGCCUUCGGGUUGUAAACCUCUUUCAGUAGGGAACAAGGCCAGCAUUUUUGUUGGUUGAGGGUACUUGCAGAAGAAGCGCCGGCUAACUACGUGCCAGCAGCCGCGGUAAUACGUAGGGCGCAAGCGUUAUCCGGAAUUAUUGGGCGUAAAGAGCUCGUAGGCGGUUUGUCGCGUCUGCCGUGAAAGUCCGGGGCUCAACCCCGGAUCUGCGGUGGGUACGGGCAGACUAGAGUGAUGUAGGGGAGACUGGAAUUCCUGGUGUAGCGGUGAAAUGCGCAGAUAUCAGGAGGAACACCGAUGGCGAAGGCAGGUCUCUGGGCAUUAACUGACGCUGAGGAGCGAAAGCAUGGGGAGCGAACAGGAUUAGAUACCCUGGUAGUCCAUGCCGUAAACGUUGGGCACUAGGUGUGGGGGACAUUCCACGUUUUCCGCGCCGUAGCUAACGCAUUAAGUGCCCCGCCUGGGGAGUACGGCCGCAAGGCUAAAACUCAAAGGAAUUGACGGGGGCCCGCACAAGCGGCGGAGCAUGCGGAUUAAUUCGAUGCAACGCGAAGAACCUUACCAAGGCUUGACAUGAACCGGAAAGGCCUGGAAACAGGUCCCCCGCUUGCGGUCGGUUUACAGGUGGUGCAUGGUUGUCGUCAGCUCGUGUCGUGAGAUGUUGGGUUAAGUCCCGCAACGAGCGCAACCCUCGUUCUAUGUUGCCAGCACGUGAUGGUGGGGACUCAUAGGAGACUGCCGGGGUCAACUCGGAGGAAGGUGAGGACGACGUCAAAUCAUCAUGCCCCUUAUGUCUUGGGCUUCACGCAUGCUACAAUGGCCGGUACAAUGGGUUGCGAUACUGUGAGGUGGAGCUAAUC
RNAcentral lists this ribosomal RNA (1030 nucleotides) under Arthrobacter sp. Its description in RNAcentral is "bacterial SSU rRNA". It matches the Rfam family "Bacterial small subunit ribosomal RNA", at positions 244 to 1273 of the family's 1533-position model. Lineage: Bacteria; Bacillati; Actinomycetota; Actinomycetes; Micrococcales; Micrococcaceae. The record is from RNAcentral.